RNAcentral lists this ribosomal RNA (382 nucleotides) under uncultured bacterium. RNAcentral describes it as "bacterial SSU rRNA". It matches the Rfam family "Bacterial small subunit ribosomal RNA", at positions 28 to 409 of the family's 1533-position model. The record is from RNAcentral.
GACGAACGCUGGCGGCGUGCUUAACACAUGCAAGUCGAGCGGUAAGGCCCUUUCGGGGGUACGACGAGCGGCGAACGGGUGAGUAACACGUGGGUGACCUGCCCUCAGCUCUGGGAUAAGCCUGGGAAACCGGGUCUAAUACUGGAUAUGACUCCAUGACGCAUGUUGUGGGGUGGAAAGCCUUGUGCGGCUGAGGAUGGGCCCGCGGCCUAUCAGCUUGUUGGUGGGGUGANGGCCUACCAAGGCGACGACGGGUAGCCGGCCUGAGAGGGCGACCGGCCGACACUGGGACUGAGACACGGCCCAGACUCCUACGGGAGGCAGCAGUGGGGAAUCUUGCGCAAUGGGCGAAAGCCUGACGCAGCGACGCCGCGUGAGGGAU